UACGGAGGGGGCAAGCGUUGUUCGGAAUUACUGGGCGUUAAAGGGCGCGCAGGCGGCUGCUCAAGUCAGGCGUGAAAGGCCCUGGGCUAACCCGGGAAUUGCGCUUGAGACUGGGCUGGCUUGAGUGCGGGAGAGGAUGGUGGAAUUCCCGAGUGUAGAGGUGAAAUUCGUAGAUAUUCGGAGGAACACCAGUGGCGAAGGCGGCUCACUGGCUCGGUACUGACGCUGAGGUGCGAAAGCGUGGGAGCAACAGG
This 254-nucleotide ribosomal RNA is filed under the name uncultured bacterium. RNAcentral's name for it is "partial 16S ribosomal RNA". It matches the Rfam family "Bacterial small subunit ribosomal RNA", at positions 524 to 776 of the family's 1533-position model. The record is from RNAcentral.